CCUACGGGGGACUGCAGUGAGGAAUAUUGGUCAAUGGGCGCGAGCCUGAACCAGCCAAGUAGCGUGAAGGAUGACUGCCCUACGGGUUGUAAACUUCUUUUGCCGGGGAGCAACGGGCGCCACGUGUGGCGCCACUGAGAGUACCCGGAGAAAAAGCAUCGGCUAACUCCGUGCCAGCAGCCGCGGUAAUACGGAGGAUGCGAGCGUUAUCCGGAUUUAUUGGGUUUAAAGGGUGCGUAGGCGGAGCGUUAAGUCAGUGGUCAAAUUGAGGGGCUCAACCCCUUCCCGCCAUUGAAACUGGCGCUCGUGAGGGGAAGAGAAGUAUGCGGAAUGCGUGGUGUAGCGGUGAAAUGCAUAGAUAUCACGCAGAACCCCGAUUGCGAAGGCAGCAUGCCGGCUUCCUACUGACGCUGAAGCACGAAAGCGUGGGGAUCGAACAGGAUUAGAUACCCUAGUAGUC
Molecule: ribosomal RNA, 460 nt
Filed under: uncultured bacterium
Lineage: Bacteria
Description: partial 16S ribosomal RNA
Rfam family: Bacterial small subunit ribosomal RNA
Source: RNAcentral